RNAcentral lists this unclassified non-coding RNA (286 nucleotides) under Meruliaceae sp. RNAcentral describes it as "partial contains 5.8S ribosomal RNA, internal transcribed spacer 2, and large subunit ribosomal RNA". The record is from RNAcentral. Lineage: Eukaryota; Fungi; Basidiomycota; Agaricomycetes; Polyporales; Meruliaceae.
CGCACCUUGCGCUCCUUGGUAUUCCGAGGAGCAUGCCUGUUUGAGUGUCAUGGUAUUCUCAACUCUCCAAUGCUUUUGCAAUGAAGAGUUGGAUUUGGAGGUCGUGUCGGCUUGCAAAAGUUGACUCCUCUUAAAUGCAUUAGUGUGAACCUUUACGGAUCGCCUUCAGUGUGAUAAUGUCUACGCUGUGGUGUUGAAGUAUCUCUAGCGUUCACGCUUCUAACAGUCCUCGGACACCCUUUGACAAUCUGACCUCAAAUCAGGUAGGACUACCCGCUGAACUUAA